GACGAACGCUGGCGGCGUGCUUAACACAUGCAAGUCGAACGGAAAGGCCCUGCUUGCAGGGUGCUCGAGUGGCGAACGGGUGAGUAACACGUGGGUGAUCUGCCCCUUACUUUGGGAUAAGCCUGGGAAACUGGGUCUAAUACUGGAUAGGACCAUGCUGUAGGUGGUGUGGUGGAAAGAUUAGUUUCGGUAAGGGAUGAGCUCGCGGCCUAUCAGCUUGUUGGUGGGGUAAUGGCCUACCAAGGCGUCGACGGGUAGCCGGCCUGAGAGGGUGGACGGCCACAUUGGGACUGAGAUACGGCCCAGACUCCUACGGGAGGCAGCAGUGGGGAAUAUUGCACAAUGGGCGCAAGCCGGAUGCAGCGACGCCGCGUGGGGGAUGACGGCCUUCGGGUGGUAAACUCCUUUCAGCCAUGACGAAGCCCUUGUGGUGACGGUAGUGGUAGAAGAAGCACCGGCUAACUACGUG
Molecule: ribosomal RNA, 469 nt
Filed under: uncultured bacterium
Lineage: Bacteria
Description: partial 16S ribosomal RNA
Rfam family: Bacterial small subunit ribosomal RNA
Source: RNAcentral